AAUGGUCCCCCAGGGAGGUCUGCAUUCUAAUCCCCAGAACCUGAGGAUUAGGGGACUAGGAUGCAGACCUCCCUAGGUACCAUU
Molecule: microRNA precursor, 84 nt
Filed under: Saimiri boliviensis boliviensis (Bolivian squirrel monkey)
Lineage: Eukaryota; Metazoa; Chordata; Mammalia; Primates; Cebidae
Description: miRNA (ENSSBOG00000003427.1)
Source: RNAcentral